This 73-nucleotide transfer RNA is filed under the name Triticum turgidum (rivet wheat). RNAcentral's name for it is "partial tRNA-Ser". It matches the Rfam family "tRNA", at positions 1 to 56 of the family's 71-position model. Rfam says of the family: Transfer RNA (tRNA) molecules are approximately 80 nucleotides in length. Lineage: Eukaryota; Viridiplantae; Streptophyta; Magnoliopsida; Poales; Poaceae. The record is from RNAcentral.
GGAGAGAUGGCUGAGUGGACUAAAGCGGCGGAUUGCUAAUCCGUUGUACAAUUUUUUUGUACCGAGGGUUCGA